UGGGGAAUAUUGCACAAUGGGCGCAAGCCUGAUGCAGCCAUGCCGCGUGUGUGAAGAAGGCCCUAGGGUUGUAAAGCACUUUCAGCAGUGAGGAAAGGUUGUACGUUAAUACCGUGCAGCUGUGACGUUAACUGCAGAAGAAGCACCGGCUAACUCCGUGCCAGCAGCCGCGGUAAUACGGAGGGUGCGAGCGUUAAUCGGAAUUACUGGGCGUAAAGCGCGCGUAGGUGGAUUGGUCAGUCAGAUGUGAAAGCCCAGGGCUCAACCUUGGAACUGCACCUGAUACUGCCAAUCUAGAAUACGGUAGAGGGUAGUGGAAUUUCCUGUGUAGCGGUGAAAUGCGUAGAUAUAGGAAGGAACACCAGUGGCGAAGGCGACUACCUGGACCGAUAUUGACACUGAGGUGCGAAAGCGUGGGGAGCAAACAGGAUUAGAUACCCUGGUAGUCCACGCCGUAAACGAUGUCUACUAGCCGUUGGGAGACUUGAUCUUUUAGUGGCGCAGCUAACGCGAUAAGUAGACCGCCUGGGGAGUACGGCCGCAAGGUUAAAACUCAAAUGAAUUGACGGGGGCCCGCACAAGCGGUGGAGCAUGUGGUUUAAUUCGACGCAACGCGAAGAACCUUACCAACUCUUGACAUCCUGCGAACUUGCUAGAGAUAGCUUGGUGCCUUCGGGAACGCAGAGACAGGUGCUGCAUGGCU
Molecule: ribosomal RNA, 703 nt
Filed under: uncultured Neptuniibacter sp.
Lineage: Bacteria; Pseudomonadati; Pseudomonadota; Gammaproteobacteria; Oceanospirillales; Oceanospirillaceae
Description: bacterial SSU rRNA
Rfam family: Bacterial small subunit ribosomal RNA
Source: RNAcentral